UUCGUAUUAGCGACUUGGAAACAUGUCUCUUAUGUUAGAAUUUGCUCAAAUUAUGCAUUUGUAAACAAUAAACUCAUGUUUGGACUUAGUGGACAAAAAUGCCAUAAAGAGGCACUUGACAUAGUAAACUGUGAAACUGCAACAUAGAGACAUAGUGAUAGGCCAUUGAACAUCUGCUAUAUUCCAUGUUAGAGACAUGAUGACAUAGAGAUAGGCCUUUGAGACAUUCGACGUAUAUUCCAUAUUUUUAGACAUGAGGACUUGGUACUUGAGACAGAUCUUUCGCUUGCUUGCCAUUGUGCUCAUUCGCACAUGCUUGUAAGGGUCGCUCCUACAAGCAGGCACUCCGAAGAUAGCCAUCGUGACAUAUGCUCGCUCGUGUGGGAUUGGGCGCCGAAAUGGGAUGCCGUGGGGGAGGCUCAUUCCUAGAGUGGGGAUGUUGACUACCACGGGGCCAUUAGGCACGGCGCAGGCCGGACUACCCACGGGUAGGUCCUACAGGAUUGGAUCAUUGAUGACUUAGCAUACCGACUGGACAUUGACUAGAAUAGUAAACAAGACAUUUUACUAUUUAGCUUGUGGACAUCAUGCUAGUGAUAUCUUGGUACAUUCAUGUUAAGAAUAGUCUUUUAUUACUUAUGCAACUUCAUGCUAAAUAGAGAUAUCAUGUUGUAGUAAGUUUACACGUUUACUUACAUAUCGAUUCUGUUCCUUUUAUUGUUACUUACCUGUUUAGCUCUUUUGGGCCUAGUGGUGCUUUCACUGAAGUCAAUAAUUGCCCACUGGGAACUAUUAUUUAAUAGUUUUCACGCCCAUGUUUCUAUGUUUCCUUUUCAGAGCCCUCUGUACCGGCGGAGGCACGGGAUCGCGGCAAGGGGAUCGCUAGCUAGAUAGCGAGGAUUUAUUGUUGCUUAGGUGGUUUUCUCUCUUUUUGUUGUUGUUGAGAGAGAGUGAGGUUUUGUAUCCAUGUAUAGAGACCACCUAUGUAUUUACUUAUAGCACUUGUUUCGGGAUUCUUCUUGUACUACUUUAUGUUUUCAUCUAGUUGAUUUUAGUUUUAUGGUUCUUUUUCUCUACUGUAGCAUCUAGAUAUAUUUGCUCUGAUACUCUUAGAUGUUCUCUUUUUACUGCUUCAUUUAUCGUUUUGUUUUAGACACCUUAUAUGUUUUAGACAUAUGGCGGGUCUGAACACGCGCCGGGCGGGCUUCCGCUUGGUCCCGGGGCAUGACAGUCUGGAACUGGAGGAGGGAGGAAGUGGUUCCACGGCGGCGGGGCAUGACGGCUGGUGGCGGGUGCGGCUUUCAAGUGGUGCGACAUAACUGCUAAACGAUUGAAGAAGAUAAUAGUGUAAAGUUUCUCAUAAAAGCUCACGUCCUUCUUUCAACUGUAUAAUAAGUGUAACACAUUGAGCUUUAGCAACUUGUAAGGUUUGAGUGUUUGAUCUGUGUUCUGAGUUUUUCCAGGUAUUCUGGAGGGUCGUUGACAGUUUUUCGACCUAUGACUCACAUCCCGAGGAGCGAGGGUGAAAACUUAGCGCCAAAAUCUCCAAAAUGAGAAAUUUGGGCUGCUCUCGGGUUGACUUUGCAGGGCAGAGUAACGGUACCGCAUCGGCUUGGUACCGGUACUGGACCUGGUACCGGUACUGCAUCGCGAUGGUACCGGUAUGCAGUGCGAUGUCUCGCCAACCCGAGGCUCAGGUUGCGCAUGCUGCUGCCUGGUACCGGUACCAAAUCUCGUGUCAUCGGUACGUAGUGCAGUAUGCAGACUGCUUGUUCCUGAAGGGUAUUUUUGCAAUUGUAGCUACUCUACAAAUACCUUACGGCCCCUCUUGUGUUCCCUGAGCUUGGAGAAAGAGGAGAACUAGGUAGGGAAGCCCUCCUCACCUUCUCUUUGAUUUUCUUUCCAUUUUGUUGGGAUUUUUGAGGAUUAAUCACCUUUUUUUGCUUCUCUUUGUUUGUUGGUGGCAUUUCCACCAUGGGAGAAGCUUUGGAGCUUGGAUUGGAGCUUGUUGAAGGAGAGGUCUUCAGUCCUAACUCAUUUCAAGUUUAGUUUGGAGCUUCUAAAGAGGUUAGUAAUAUGUUUCUCUCAUUUGGAUCAUGUUUUUGGAGGAUUUUGUGUAGAAACCCUAGAAAUGAGAAAUCUAGGAUUUAUUUGGAAAUUUUUGAUUUGUAGCUUUUGGAGCUCAAUUGAUUGGUUUAGAACCUUCCUUUAGGUUGGUUUUGGAGUGCUCUAACUUCCAUUUAGGAUUUGAGAAGGUUUUUUUCACCAUUCUAGGUUAGUUUUGCCAUUUUCUUAGGUUGGUUAAAGAUGAACGCGUGGGUGGGGUGUUCGUUCAUUUCGUUUAACCUUCUUAGAAUUUUUUCUAGAGAGCUAGGAGACUUGGGGACAUCUUCGUUGGCGCGAACGAAGGGGAUCCGAGGAGUUCUUGGUGGGUUUGACCUCACCGAAAUGGGUGAACUCUCCCUAUGUUAUACUCUAUAUUGUAAAAUAAAAACUUAUGCAUAUUCGUGUUAGAUAGAGCAUAAAUGAAUUUUAGAAGGCUUUAAAUGCAUAUGUUAUGUAUCAUGUUCUUUCAUCCCUAUGUAGUAGUGAGAUAUGUUUAUAGUACUCAUGCUAGUGUGUGGCAUUUUCAUGAUAUGUUAGAAAUUAUGUUAUAUGUAGUGAAAUGACAAGCUUUUACUUGUUUGAGAACAACGAACAUGUGCUAAACAUAGAGAUUAUAUAAUGUAAUAAAGUGGCAUUGAACUUGGAAUAGAUGUUGACAUAAUAAACCAUAAUAUCAUAAAGUGGCAUUAGACUUAGUAAACAGUGGAACCUUUACAUUUGGACAAGAACUAGACCUUUGGGUUGCUAGUGUGUAUACUAUGCUUGAGAUGAUGACUAUACAUGCUUGCCAUUUGUGCUCAUUCGCACAUGCUUGUGAGGAUCGCUCCUUACAAGCCG
Molecule: long non-coding RNA, 2943 nt
Filed under: Ananas comosus (pineapple)
Lineage: Eukaryota; Viridiplantae; Streptophyta; Magnoliopsida; Poales; Bromeliaceae
Description: long non-coding RNA (ACOM_LNC005490)
Source: RNAcentral